GGGUUGUGAGGUUAAGCGACUAAGCGUACACGGUGGAUGCCCUGGCAGUCAGAGGCGAUGAAGGACGUGCUAAUCUGCGAUAAGCGUCGGUAAGGUGAUAUGAACCGUUAUAACCGGCGAUUUCCGAAUGGGGAAACCCAGUGUGAUUCGUCACACUAUCAUUAACUGAAUCCAUAGGUUAAUGAGGCGAACCGGGGGAACUGAAACAUCUAAGUACCCCGAGGAAAAGAAAUCAACCGAGAUUCCCCCAGUAGCGGCGAGCGAACGGGGAGCAGCCCAGAGCCUGAAUCAGUGUGUGUGUUAGUGGAAGCGUCUGGAAAGGCGUGCGAUACAGGGUGACAGCCCCGUACACAAAAAUGCACAUAUUGUGAGCUCGAUGAGUAGGGCGGGACACGUGGUAUCCUGUCUGAAUAUGGGGGGACCAUCCUCCAAGGCUAAAUACUCCUGACUGACCGAUAGUGAACCAGUACCGUGAGGGAAAGGCGAAAAGAACCCCGGCGAGGGGAGUGAAAAAGAACCUGAAACCGUGUACGUACAAGCAGUGGGAGCACGCUUAGGCGUGUGACUGCGUACCUUUUGUAUAAUGGGUCAGCGACUUAUAUUCUGUAGCAAGGUUAACCGAAUAGGGGAGCCGAAGGGAAACCGAGUCUUAACUGGGCGUUAAGUUGCAGGGUAUAGACCCGAAACCCGGUGAUCUAGCCAUGGGCAGGUUGAAGGUUGGGUAACACUAACUGGAGGACCGAACCGACUAAUGUUGAAAAAUUAGCGGAUGACUUGUGGCUGGGGGUGAAAGGCCAAUCAAACCGGGAGAUAGCUGGUUCUCCCCGAAAGCUAUUUAGGUAGCGCCUCGUGAAUUCAUCUCCGGGGGUAGAGCACUGUUUCGGCAAGGGGGUCAUCCCGACUUACCAACCCGAUGCAAACUGCGAAUACCGGAGAAUGUUAUCACGGGAGACACACGGCGGGUGCUAACGUCCGUCGUGAAGAGGGAAACAACCCAGACCGCCAGCUAAGGUCCCAAAGUCAUGGUUAAGUGGGAAACGAUGUGGGAAGGCCCAGACAGCCAGGAUGUUGGCUUAGAAGCAGCCAUCAUUUAAAGAAAGCGUAAUAGCUCACUGGUCGAGUCGGCCUGCGCGGAAGAUGUAACGGGGCUAAACCAUGCACCGAAGCUGCGGCAGCGACGCUUAUGCGUUGUUGGGUAGGGGAGCGUUCUGUAAGCCUGUGAAGGUGUACUGUGAGGUAUGCUGGAGGUAUCAGAAGUGCGAAUGCUGACAUAAGUAACGAUAAAGCGGGUGAAAAGCCCGCUCGCCGGAAGACCAAGGGUUCCUGUCCAACGUUAAUCGGGGCAGGGUGAGUCGACCCCUAAGGCGAGGCCGAAAGGCGUAGUCGAUGGGAAACAGGUUAAUAUUCCUGUACUUGGUGUUACUGCGAAGGGGGGACGGAGAAGGCUAUGUUGGCCGGGCGACGGUUGUCCCGGUUUAAGCGUGUAGGCUGGUUUUCCAGGCAAAUCCGGAAAAC
RNAcentral lists this ribosomal RNA (1515 nucleotides) under Escherichia coli. RNAcentral's name for it is "partial 23S ribosomal RNA". It matches the Rfam family "Bacterial large subunit ribosomal RNA", at positions 1 to 1550 of the family's 2925-position model. The record is from RNAcentral. Lineage: Bacteria; Pseudomonadati; Pseudomonadota; Gammaproteobacteria; Enterobacterales; Enterobacteriaceae.